AUUUCCCUGCGGUGUUUGUUAAGGCUAAUACUCUUUGAACCAAUUUAUAUAACAGGUUGCGAACUAAAGUGAUGCUGUUGUGCGCUCCUCACAGAAGGGGCACCUGAUGCAUCCGGUUUGCGACCACCUUGAACCUCAAGGUUCAAGAUGACAGCCUGACGGCAUUGGCGGGGAAACC
Molecule: non-coding RNA, 178 nt
Organism: Nitrosomonas communis
Lineage: Bacteria; Pseudomonadati; Pseudomonadota; Betaproteobacteria; Nitrosomonadales; Nitrosomonadaceae
Rfam family: 6S / SsrS RNA
About the family: E. coli 6S RNA was the first non coding RNA to be sequenced, but its function was unknown until recently. It consists of 184 nucleotides that fold into an extended hairpin structure with a large single-stranded internal bulge.
Source: Rfam